This 474-nucleotide unclassified non-coding RNA is filed under the name Hevea brasiliensis (rubber tree). Lineage: Eukaryota; Viridiplantae; Streptophyta; Magnoliopsida; Malpighiales; Euphorbiaceae. The record is from RNAcentral.
AGCAAGCCUUCCUCACCAGCAUGCACAGUACUUAACAGUUUAUAUCGUCAAACCUUUAUAAGCUGGUAAUAUUUCACAGCAUUUAUUCAUAAACCAGGGCACACUCAUAUAUGCUUUAUGCAGGUAGUCUCAAGCGUGAUUCGGCUUCUCCAAGUCCUCAAGGCUGGUGGGGCGGAACCAGGCCUUUUCCUCUAAAACUGAGCUCGGAUCACUGUUAGCAGGUGAUGCAGAGACGCCCCGCUCUCCGCCUGCCGCCGAGUGUGGCUCGGUGGCAGGCCCGAAUACACCAGUUUGCGGAUGGGGUGCCCAAUAUUUGUCUGACUCUGGCUGAAUCACGUCGUCAGGGACCGCGCUUGCGUUAACAUUAUCAUCCAGGUUCUUGUCGUAUACAGAUGUGUGUGCUGCCCUCCUGGCAGUGAAAGCAGAAGCAGAGCGAGAUGAUGAAGAGUAGUUAGCGGUCCAGAUCUGGGUGAC